This 1173-nucleotide long non-coding RNA is filed under the name Gallus gallus (chicken). Lineage: Eukaryota; Metazoa; Chordata; Aves; Galliformes; Phasianidae. The record is from RNAcentral.
GCACGUCAUAAUUUCGAAUGCUCCAGUGGUUUAGGAGCACUACAUCAGAUGCUUGUCUUCCCCCAGGAUUCAAGGAAGGCUGCAUUGAUGCUCCUUCCACUCUUGCUACACAGGCAACUCUAUCUAGGAAGGUCACAGUUACAGGAACAGCAACAAAGAAACCUUUAAAGAAGGCUUUGAGGUAUCUUCGCCCAAAACCUUGAGCCUGUGCCAUAACCUUCUCGUAGUGCUGCUCCGCUCGGCGGGGCGGGGGAAAUGGAGCGGCUCCACCGCACCGCUGGGGCCUCCUCGCCGCGCUUGCCCGGCCGGGCUCGGUCACGUGGGCGCACGGCGGCGCCGGGCGCUGCGCGCGGAGGGCGCGGGUCCCGCCGGGGCGGGCGGCAGCUGAGCCGCGCUCCCUGAAAUGGCGGCGUCCUUUCGCCUGGUGCUGCGGAAGGGGCUCCGAGCUGCGGGGCCCUUGUGUGGCGCUCGGGCGUGUCGGGCGUCCUCCCCGCAGCCAGCACGGGCUGGCGGCUCUCGUCCUGUCAACUGACACGUUUUGCAGUCCCGUCCUCGUUUUUUCCUCUGUGUUGGCAGUAUGUGUAGCAGUCCUGUAUUACCACUCACAAUCGGCUUCCGGUCGUCUGUUCUAGAAUUAAAGCUGUUUUCUUCUGUCUAACACAUCAAUGGUUGUUAGGACUUGUGUUUUUGCUUCAAAAUUGAGAGCUUUUUUAUUAUCAGCAUGUGCAAGUGCCACCAUGGUCUGAAGCAGGAGGGUUUUCAGGACAGUUCAUAUAUAUAUUGAGGAGAUAAUGGGCAUGUUUGUGGUAUAAAAUCCCUUCAGGGUUCAUAAGCACACACAAGACCAUCCAAUUCCAGCCCCCCUGCCAUGAGCUGGUUGCCAGCCACCAGCUCAGGCUGCACAGGGCCCCAUCCAGCCUGGUGCCGAACACCUCCAGGGAUGAGGCAACCACAGUUUCUCUGGGCAGUUGUGCCAGCGCUUCACUCUGAGUAUUUCCUUCGAUCAGCUAACCUAAAUCUCCUCUCUUUCAGCUUAAAGUCCUUCCUCUUUGUCUUAUCGCUAUCUGCCUGUGUAAAAAUUUGGUUAUCCUCCUGUUUGUAAGUUCUAUUUAAAUACUGGGAGGCAGCAGUGAGGUUCCACAGCCUUUUGUUCCCCGGGCAGAACAAGCCCAG